This 115-nucleotide non-coding RNA is filed under the name Palpitomonas bilix. The record is from RNAcentral.
AUGUGGUUAUCUUUCUUUUUUUGGCCACCGUGCAUGUCGCGGAAACGAAAAACAAGGGAGAACACCCAUGAAGGGAGGAGAAGAGAUACGAAAAAAAGAAAGAUAUCUUUGCAUC